GGGUUGUGAGGUUAAGCGACUAAGCGUACACGGUGGAUGCCUUGGUAGUCAGAGGCGAUGAAGGACGUGCUAAUCUGCGAUAAGCGUCGGUAAGGUGAUAUGAACCGUUAUAACCGGCGAUUUCCGAAUGGGGAAACCCAGUGUGAUUCGUCACACUAUCAUUAACUAAAUCCAUAGGUUAAUGAGGCGAACCGGGGGAACUGAAACAUCUAAGUACCCCGAGGAAAAGAAAUCAACCGAGAUUCCCCCAGUAGCGGCGAGCGAACGGGGAGCAGCCCAGAGCCUGAAUCAGUGUGUGUGUUAGUGGAAGCGUCUGGAAAGGCGUGCGAUACAGGGUGACAGCCCCGUACACAAAAAUGCACAUAUUGUGAGCUCGAUGAGUAGGGCGGGACACGUGGUAUCCUGUCUGAAUAUGGGGGGACCAUCCUCCAAGGCUAAAUACUCCUGACUGACCGAUAGUGAACCAGUACCGUGAGGGAAAGGCGAAAAGAACCCCGGCGAGGGGAGUGAAAAAGAACCUGAAACCGUGUACGUACAAGCAGUGGGAGCACGCUUAGGCGUGUGACUGCGUACCUUUUGUAUAAUGGGUCAGCGACUUAUAUUCUGUAGCAAGGUUAACCGAAUAGGGGAGCCGAAGGGAAACCGAGUCUUAACUGGGCGUUAAGUUGCAGGGUAUAGACCCGAAACCCGGUGAUCUAGCCAUGGGCAGGUUGAAGGUUGGGUAACACUAACUGGAGGACCGAACCGACUAAUGUUGAAAAAUUAGCGGAUGACUUGUGGCUGGGGGUGAAAGGCCAAUCAAACCGGGAGAUAGCUGGUUCUCCCCGAAAGCUAUUUAGGUAGCGCCUCGUGAAUUCAUCUCCGGGGGUAGAGCACUGUUUCGGCAAGGGGGUCAUCCCGACUUACCAACCCGAUGCAAACUGCGAAUACCGGAGAAUGUUAUCACGGGAGACACACGGCGGGUGCUAACGUCCGUCGUGAAGAGGGAAACAACCCAGACCGCCAGCUAAGGUCCCAAAGUCAUGGUUAAGUGGGAAACGAUGUGGGAAGGCCCAGACAGCCAGGAUGUUGGCUUAGAAGCAGCCAUCAUUUAAAGAAAGCGUAAUAGCUCACUGGUCGAGUCGGCCUGCGCGGAAGAUGUAACGGGGCUAAACCAUGCACCGAAGCUGCGGCAGCGACGCUGAUGCGUUGUUGGGUAGGGGAGCGUUCUGUAAGCCUGUGAAGGUGUGCUGUGAGGUAUGCUGGAGGUAUCAGAAGUGCGAAUGCUGACAUAAGUAACGAUAAAGCGGGUGAAAAGCCCGCUCGCCGGAAGACCAAGGGUUCCUGUCCAACGUUAAUCGGGGCAGGGUGAGUCGACCCCUAAGGCGAGGCCGAAAGGCGUAGUCGAUGGGAAACAGGUUAAUAUUCCUGUACUUGGUGUUACUGCGAAGGGGGGACGGAGAAGGCUAUGUUGGCCGGGCGACGGUUGUCCCGGUUUAAGCGUGUAGGCUGGUUUUCCAGGCAAAUCCGGAAAACUAAGGCUGAGGCGUGAUGACGAGGCACUACGGUGCUGAAGCAACAAAUGCCCUGCUUCCAGGAAAAGCCUCUAAGCAUCAGGUAACAUCAAAUCGUACCCCAAACCGACACAGGUGGUCAGGUAGAGAAUACCAAGGCGCUUGAGAGAACUCGGGUGAAGGAACUAGGCAAAAUGGUGCCGUAACUUCGGGAGAAGGCACGCUGAUAUGUAGGUGAAGUCCCUCGCGGAUGGAGCUGAAAUCAGUCGAAGAUACCAGCUGGCUGCAACUGUUUAUUAAAAACACAGCACUGUGCAAACACGAAAGUGGACGUAUACGGUGUGACGCCUGCCCGGUGCCGGAAGGUUAAUUGAUGGGGUCAGCGCAAGCGAAGCUCUUGAUCGAAGCCCCGGUAAACGGCGGCCGUAACUAUAACGGUCCUAAGGUAGCGAAAUUCCUUGUCGGGUAAGUUCCGACCUGCACGAAUGGCGUAAUGAUGGCCAGGCUGUCUCCACCCGAGACUCAGUGAAAUUGAACUCGCUGUGAAGAUGCAGUGUACCCGCGGCAAGACGGAAAGACCCCGUGAACCUUUACUAUAGCUUGACACUGAACAUUGAGCCUUGAUGUGUAGGAUAGGUGGGAGGCUUUGAAGUGUGGACGCCAGUCUGCAUGGAGCCGACCUUGAAAUACCACCCUUUAAUGUUUGAUGUUCUAACGUUGACCCGUAAUCCGGGUUGCGGACAGUGUCUGGUGGGUAGUUUGACUGGGGCGGUCUCCUCCUAAAGAGUAACGGAGGAGCACGAAGGUUGGCUAAUCCUGGUCGGACAUCAGGAGGUUAGUGCAAUGGCAUAAGCCAGCUUGACUGCGAGCGUGACGGCGCGAGCAGGUGCGAAAGCAGGUCAUAGUGAUCCGGUGGUUCUGAAUGGAAGGGCCAUCGCUCAACGGAUAAAAGGUACUCCGGGGAUAACAGGCUGAUACCGCCCAAGAGUUCAUAUCGACGGCGGUGUUUGGCACCUCGAUGUCGGCUCAUCACAUCCUGGGGCUGAAGUAGGUCCCAAGGGUAUGGCUGUUCGCCAUUUAAAGUGGUACGCGAGCUGGGUUUAGAACGUCGUGAGACAGUUCGGUCCCUAUCUGCCGUGGGCGCUGGAGAACUGAGGGGGGCUGCUCCUAGUACGAGAGGACCGGAGUGGACGCAUCACUGGUGUUCGGGUUGUCAUGCCAAUGGCACUGCCCGGUAGCUAAAUGCGGAAGAGAUAAGUGCUGAAAGCAUCUAAGCACGAAACUUGCCCCGAGAUGAGUUCUCCCUGACUCCUUGAGAGUCCUGAAGGAACGUUGAAGACGACGACGUUGAUAGGCCGGGUGUGUAAGCGCAGCGAUGCGUUGAGCUAACCGGUACUAAUGAACCGUGAGGCUUAACCUUACAACGCCGAAGGUGUUU
This 2931-nucleotide ribosomal RNA is filed under the name Shigella boydii. RNAcentral's name for it is "23S ribosomal RNA". It matches the Rfam family "Bacterial large subunit ribosomal RNA". The record is from RNAcentral. Lineage: Bacteria; Pseudomonadati; Pseudomonadota; Gammaproteobacteria; Enterobacterales; Enterobacteriaceae.